Molecule: long non-coding RNA, 519 nt
Filed under: Cyanistes caeruleus (blue tit)
Lineage: Eukaryota; Metazoa; Chordata; Aves; Passeriformes; Paridae
Description: lncRNA (ENSCCEG00000012159.1)
Source: RNAcentral
CAGAACUGACUUUCAUCCAUAAAAAUAUUGCAAGUGAACCACUUGUUUGCUUCUUACCUCUGUUAGCCUGUUUUAUAUAAGCCGGCGUACUCCUUUAUGAGGACUUAGGCACAGGCAUGUUGAUCCUUGCAUCCACACAAGAAUUCUAUGAGCUAAACACAUGUUCUGCCAUUGGCACAUUGCUGCUGUCCUGCCAAAACCCUCCUCCGUGCUCGGCUUCCGCAGCAAUGAGCAUGGGUGGAGGAAGGAAGGAACAGCUGGGAGGUGAUUAUGGUUUCCUGAUGCCCUGCCCCACCCAUGGCACAGGGACCAAACAACAAAACCAAUGGAGGGGGCCUGUGCAGCCAAGAAGAGAAACGUUUGUGUUCAACGUUGAGGAUUUGAAGCAGAUUUGAUUGAGGGUUCCAAAAAAAUGGUGCUGCUUUGUGAAGUUGCAUUGUGAGCUCUUGGCUGGGACCGUGACGGAAAUGCUUCCAGAGGAAAAAGCCCCAGAGAAAAUAAAUGCUAAAGAUGUCUUCA